UAAAUUCUGAAAUAUUCGUUAAGCUCUUAUUUUGAACCUACGCAUUAAUUUGGGGAGUUCAAUAUUUAGAUGAAGAAAUGUACUUUCAAUUGAGUCCUUUUACGGCAUUGAAGGCGAUUGAGGUAUCUGUGAGGACACCCACCUAUCGAAAGAUAGGGAUCAAAAUUAGAGUAUCGGUAUUUUGGAUAUCAU
RNAcentral lists this non-coding RNA (192 nucleotides) under Clostridium sp. RNAcentral's name for it is "6S RNA". It matches the Rfam family "6S / SsrS RNA". Rfam says of the family: E. coli 6S RNA was the first non coding RNA to be sequenced, but its function was unknown until recently. It consists of 184 nucleotides that fold into an extended hairpin structure with a large single-stranded internal bulge. The record is from RNAcentral. Lineage: Bacteria; Bacillati; Bacillota; Clostridia; Eubacteriales; Clostridiaceae.